CAUAUUGUAUCUCCCGCGAAGAAAACGUGCUCGUUUUGUUUACUCAUUUGAGACAUAAAAUUUCUUAAGAUAUUAAGGAAGUUAACUUGUUUACCACAUGGCGGUCGAUACAAUCAGGAGAUUAAAAACGAUUUACCAGAAGUAUUUAACACUUUAAUGCACAAAGUUUCAAUAUGUUUAUUUGUUUUUGAAAAUGUGUUGUUUUUUUUUAAAUUCAAAUUUAUCAAGAAUAUUUUCCACCUCUCUUGCUGAUUACACGUGGUUGACUUUUAUAUGAAUCUAAAUUGUAUAGGGAAUUUUCGCACAUGGUUAACAUAGAAUUGGUCCUCCGAUCUGCCUCGUACUUCGCUUGUCGACAGAAAAACAGAAAUUAGGUACCUCUAAAAGACCUGACGGUCUUGUCACAGAACAUUGCGGAAUAGGGUUUAGUUAGUAAGUUCACGUCUCCUUCCUUACCAAUGGCGCAAAAAAUGCUCCGACCAUGCUUCGAACUCUAGAUCUCUUGCAUCUUUAAUUUUUUUUUAAUUACAUUAAUGUUAUUUUGGAAAAAAAAAUAUUUUAGAUAAAUAAUAUUGUUAGUUAUAUUCAGUGAAAAUUUCAGGAACAUUGAAUGCGUCGUUUAACAUUUAUAAGGUUGUCCUUAAACUUUAGGACACUACCAGGGCAGUGGAAUUGGAAUUGGAGUCGUG
This is a long non-coding RNA of Hydra vulgaris (swiftwater hydra), 689 nucleotides long. RefSeq lists it as uncharacterized. The record is from RefSeq and is a predicted model, not a curated record. Lineage: Eukaryota; Metazoa; Cnidaria; Hydrozoa; Anthoathecata; Hydridae.